Molecule: ribosomal RNA, 119 nt
Filed under: Cebus imitator (Panamanian white-faced capuchin)
Lineage: Eukaryota; Metazoa; Chordata; Mammalia; Primates; Cebidae
Source: RNAcentral
GUCUAUGGCCAUAUAACCCUAAAUGCACCUGAUCUCGUCUGAUCUUGGAAGCUAAGCAGGGUGGGUCCUGGUUAGUACUUGGAUGGGAGACUGUCUGAGAAUACUGGGUGCUGUAGGCU